UACAGAGGUCUCAAGCGUUGUUCGGAUUCAUUGGGCGUAAAGGGUGCGUAGGUGGCGCGCUAAGUCAGGUGUGAAAUCUCGGGGCUUAACUCCAGAACUGCCUUUGAUACUGGCGAUCUUGAGUCCGGGAGAGGUGAGUGGAACUGCGAGUGUAGAGGUGAAAUUCGUAGAUAUUCGCAAGAACACCAGUGGCGAAGGCGGCUCACUGGCCCGGUACUGACGCUGAGGUGCGAAAGCGUGGGGAGCAAACAGG
Molecule: ribosomal RNA, 253 nt
Filed under: uncultured bacterium
Lineage: Bacteria
Description: partial 16S ribosomal RNA
Rfam family: Bacterial small subunit ribosomal RNA
Source: RNAcentral